GAGUUUGAUUAUGGCUCAGGAUGAACGUUGGCGGCGUGCCUGAGAUAUGCAAGUCGAGCGAUCCCGCCUUUGGCGGGAAGCGGCGAACGGCUGAGUAAUACGUAGGAACCUGCCCCUAAGUCGAGGAUAGUCCGCCGAAAGGCGGAGUAAUACUCGAUAGUCCCCGCUUAAUUUGGUGGGGUAAAGGAUCUAACCGUCCGCUUAGGGAGGGGCCUGCGGCCUAUCAGGUAGUUGGUAGGGUAACGGCCUACCAAGCCGAUGACGGGUAGCUGGCCUUAUGAGGGUGGUCAGCCAGAGGGGGACUGAGACACGGCCCCCACUCCUACGGGAGGCAGCAAUCAGGAAUCGUCGGCAAUGGGCGAAAGCCUGACCGCGCGACGCCGCGUGCGGGAAGAAGCUCUUCGGAGUGUAAACCGCUGUGGUAGGGGAGGAAGCCCCGCCGUUGGCGGGGUUGACAGUACCCUACUAGAAAGGGGCCGCUAACUGCGUGCCAGAAGCGUCGGUAAUACGUGGGCCCCAAACGUUAUCCGGUGUCACUGGGCGUAAAGGGUCGUGUAGGCGUCCCGUCAAGUUUUACCUCAAAGACUAUGGCUCAACCAUAGGAAGGGGUAAAAAACUGACGGGAU
RNAcentral lists this ribosomal RNA (626 nucleotides) under uncultured Microgenomates group bacterium. RNAcentral's name for it is "bacterial SSU rRNA". It matches the Rfam family "Bacterial small subunit ribosomal RNA", at positions 9 to 642 of the family's 1533-position model. The record is from RNAcentral.